CUCUUGGCUCCUCAUAACUUUCUUAAUUUCUCAUGGUUAUCAAGCUGAUUUGAUUUAUCUAGUAAUUAAUGAACAUAAGUAAUUGUGUUCCCUUGGCAUCUUUAACAAAUGGAAUCACCUUAGAACAGCAAUCUCAGAGCAGAGGAUUUUCUGUGUUUCUGUUUCCAGAAAUGGAAUGGAAAAGGAAAGAAAUAAAAUGUUGCAAAUUCAAAAGGAUGCAGAGAAUAGAGGAGAGCUCAGAAGACAUAACAUCUUAACAUCUUUUAGAAAACAAAAAACAGAUGGAAGGAUAGUACCUGACUUAGAACAGAGGAAGCUAUAUGCUAAGAGUCACACAGAGAAGAAUUCUAAAGAGAAGAUAGUCCAUUUUCCGCAGAACCCUGUGGAAGAAAAGGACUAGGAAGCACCAACUCACCUGGCUUAAGAUACAUAAUUUUAGGUUUAGAAAAACAGAUCUUAACAAGAGAGAUGGAGAACAUUGGAGAUACACAAAAAUAGUGUUUUUUCCCCCUCUUAAUUUCUUUAAAAUAUAUACAAUAGCUUAAAUCAGUUUUCCAACCUUUGUUUUCCUUAUUGCCCCUUUGAAGUCUAUUUAGACACCUUUUGCCUAGCCAUUCCCUCAACUCCUGCAAUAAAAUUUUAAAACUUGACAUAUAUGGCACACCUGUUUAUAUGUUGUACAUAUAUCUGCUUUAUGUACAAAAACAACAAUCUAAAGUUUAUUCUUUUUGUUUAGUAUAGUGUUUAGAAUGACUAAAUUUUUAACUUAAAAGUUACGUUAAAAAAUUUAAAAGCGACGUCAUGUAACCUAACUUUAUAACUGCAUAACUGCAUGCUUGCUAAGUUGCUGCCCUCAGGUCCGACUCUGCAACCAUAUGAACUGUAGCUCUGCAGGCUCCUCUGUCCAUAGGAUUCUUCAGGCAAGAAUACUGGAGUGGGUGGCAGUGCUCUCCUCCAGGGGAUCUUCCCAACCCAGGGAUCAAUCCUGGGUCUCUCCAACUCGAUGGACAUGAGUUUGAGCAGGCUCCCGGAGUUGGUGACGGACAGGGAAACCUGGCAUGCUGCAGUCCAUGGGAUCACAAACAGCUGGACACGACUCAGCGACUGAAUUGAACUGAAUUUCCAUCUCCUACAUUGGCAGACAGGUUGUUUACCACUAGCACCACCUGGGAAACCCAUGACUGCAUAAUUAUUGCUAAGUAAAUUUUAAUGUAAUUUAUUUAGUUCUGAAAGUUGUAAAAAAAAUAUAAUAGUAAAUUAGCAAAGUAUAAAAUAC
RNAcentral lists this long non-coding RNA (1276 nucleotides) under Capra hircus (goat). RNAcentral's name for it is "lncRNA (ENSCHIG00010011945.1)". The record is from RNAcentral. Lineage: Eukaryota; Metazoa; Chordata; Mammalia; Artiodactyla; Bovidae.